CGCAGGACGCACACAAAAGGAGCCCGGGCUUGGGCUUCCAGGGACGGGCUGAGGACCACCCGGCCGAGAGCGGUCAGAUCCGGGCUUUCUGCUCUUCUAAGAAGUAAAGACCUUUCGUGAAGCUGAGCUUGGUGGCCACUGCAAUGAGAGUCGCCUGUGUGCCUAACACAGGAGGGCAAGAGCACACUAGGGAAUGCAGCCGGCCUCAGAUGCCAUCUGUUCCUGUGAAGUGGGACACCCACCCCAUCAAACACCAGUGUUGCCUGCCCUUCUACUUCCCAUCAUGACCUCCACAGCACAGGGGCAGGCCCUCACCGGAAGCUGAGUAGAUGCUGGCACCAUGCUCUUGGCUUUCUAGUCACCAGAACUGAGCUGGGGAUUGAACCCAAGGCCUCCUGCAUGCUACGGAAGUGCUGUGUCCCUGAGCUCCACCCUCACCCUCCAGGAUGUUUUCAUGCAAACCUUGUCUGAUGUCUGAAGGUGAACACAUUGUCUCCUCAAACACUAUUUUUUUGUGGUAAAAACAUACAAACUAUUUUUUCUAGUUUUUUUUUGAAAUAGAUAGUACAUUAUUGUUAUCUACAGUCAUCUUAUUGUACAACAGCACCCCAGAACUUCUUGCUCCUAUUUAACGAUAAUGGUACCUAUUCAUCAACCUCUCCCCAUCCUUCCCAGCCCCCUUCUUUCUCCAGCCCCUUGGUAGCCACUGUGCUCCUCUCAACAUCUUUGAGAUCAACUGUUUUAGGUUCCACCUAUGAAUGAGAUGAUGUGGUGCCUGUCUUUCUGUUCCUGGCUUAUUCCCUUUAACAUAACGAUUUCUAGUUCCUUCCACGUUGCCUCCAAUGAGAGGAUUUUAUUCCCUUAUAAGAUUGACUAGUAUUCCACUUAAGUGUGCAUGUAUGUGCAUGUGUAUCACAUUUUUUAAACUAUUUAUCAGUUUAUUCCGUAUCUUUGCUAUUGUAAGUAAUGCUGCACCCAAAAUGGAAAUGCAGGUAUCUCCUUGACACACUGAUUUCAUUUCUUUUGAGUAUAUAUCUAGUAGUGGGAUGGCUGGAUCAUAUGGUAGUUCCAUCUUUAGUUAUUUGAGGAGCCCCGUGCUGUUUUCCAUAAUGAUGUACUAAUUUACAAUCAUACCAUCGAUAUGCAAGUGUUCCCUUUUCCUGUUAAUGAGUCAUAUUCUCAAAGUACUGCUUUUGAAUGAAAUAUAAAAUAUACCAGGCCCUACAGACACCUGAUUUCUCAUGGAUGCUUCAUGUCUUGAGGUUUGUCGGGGACCAAAAUGCUUGGCUACUUUUGUUGAGCACUUUCUCUGUGACUGAUGAUAGCAAGGCACAGGGGUGGGUGUCCGAUUGUCCUUCCUGGGUUCUUCCCCCUUCAGUGCCAGCGCUGCUGAACAACUCUGGCCCAUUCACAAAUUCUUUUCAUCCAUUGUACUGGCUGCAGCAGACUGGU
Ictidomys tridecemlineatus (thirteen-lined ground squirrel) is the source of this 1452-nucleotide non-coding RNA. The record is from RefSeq and is a predicted model, not a curated record. NCBI's taxonomy places the organism in Eukaryota, Metazoa, Chordata, Mammalia, Rodentia, Sciuridae.